Molecule: transfer RNA, 85 nt
Filed under: Flavobacteriales bacterium
Lineage: Bacteria; Pseudomonadati; Bacteroidota; Flavobacteriia; Flavobacteriales
Description: tRNA-Leu
Rfam family: tRNA
About the family: Transfer RNA (tRNA) molecules are approximately 80 nucleotides in length. Their secondary structure includes four short double-helical elements and three loops (D, anti-codon, and T loops).
Source: RNAcentral
GCGGAUAUGGUGGAAUUGGUAGACACGCUAGAUUUAGGAUCUAGUGCCGCAAGGCGUGUGGGUUCGACUCCCUCUAUCCGCACCA